GAUGAACGCUGGCGGCGUGCUUAACACAUGCAAGUCGAGCGAGAAGUUUUGAAAAGAUUCUUCGGAUGAAAUUUAAAAUGGAAAGCGGCGGACGGGUGAGUAACGCGUAGGCAACCUGCCCCAUACAAAGGGAUAGCAUUUGGAAACGAAUAUUAAUACCUUAUGAAACUUAACUAGUGCAUGCUAGGUAGGUCAAAGAUUUAUCGGUAUGGGAUGGGCCUGCGUCUGAUUAGCUAGUUGGUGAGGUAACGGCUCACCAAGGCGACGAUCAGUAGCCGACCUGAGAGGGUGAACGGCCACAUUGGAACUGAGACACGGUCCAAACUCCUACGGGAGGCAGCAGUGGGGAAUAUUGCACAAUGGGGGAAACCCUGAUGCAGCAACGCCGCGUGAACGAUGAAGGCCUUUGGGUCGUAAAGUUCUGCUCUAGGUGAUGAAAACUGACAGUAACCUAGGAGAAAGCCCCGGCUAACUCCGUG
RNAcentral lists this ribosomal RNA (479 nucleotides) under uncultured bacterium. Its description in RNAcentral is "partial 16S ribosomal RNA". It matches the Rfam family "Bacterial small subunit ribosomal RNA", at positions 28 to 507 of the family's 1533-position model. The record is from RNAcentral.